This is a small nucleolar RNA of Xenopus laevis (African clawed frog), 138 nucleotides long. RefSeq annotates it as small nucleolar RNA SNORD10. The record is from RefSeq and is a predicted model, not a curated record. The transcript has a single exon. Lineage: Eukaryota; Metazoa; Chordata; Amphibia; Anura; Pipidae.
GUUUAGUGAUGAUAUCCCAUGCGUGUCAUCUGAUGCCCACGUCUCUCUGCUUCUGGCCUGCACUGCCUGCGUCCUGCGGGUUGGGUUUGGCUGGAGCAGAGGAUUCUGGGAGAUGAUCUGACCUGUUUGUCUGAAAAC